AGCAGCCGCGGUAAUUCCAGCUCCAAUAGCGUAUAUUAAAGUUGUUGCAGUUAAAAAGCUCGUAGUUGAAUUUCGGGGUCAGUAGGUCGGUCGUGCCACUGGUAUGAACUGGUUUUACUGAUUCCUCCCUCUUGAAGAACUGUAAUGCCAUUAAUUUGGUGUUGCAGGGAAUCAGGACUGUUACUUUGAAAAAAUUAGAGUGUUUAAAGCAGGCUCGCGCUUGAAUACAUUAGCAUGGAAUAAUGAAAUAGGACGUUGACCCUAUUUUGUUGGUUUCUAGGAUUGACGUAAUGAUUAAUAGGGAUAGUUGGGGGCAUUAGUAUUCAAUUGUCAGAGGUGAAAUUCUUGGAUUUAUUGAAGACUAACUACUGCGAAAGCAUUUGCCAAGGAUGUUUUCAUUAAUCAAGAACGAAAGUUAGGGGAUCGAAGACGAUCAGAUACCGUCGUAGUCUUAACCAUAAACUAUGCCGACUAGGGAUCGGAUGAUGUUAUUUUUAAUGACUCA
This 505-nucleotide ribosomal RNA is filed under the name Glomus sp. Glo3. RNAcentral's name for it is "SSU rRNA". It matches the Rfam family "Eukaryotic small subunit ribosomal RNA", at positions 569 to 1078 of the family's 1831-position model. RNAcentral also lists the same sequence under 1 other name. Lineage: Eukaryota; Fungi; Glomeromycota; Glomeromycetes; Glomerales; Glomeraceae. The record is from RNAcentral.